GACGAACGCUAGCGGCGUGCUUAACACAUGCAAGUCGAACGGAAAGGCCCUGCUUUUGUGGGGUGCUCGAGUGGCGAACGGGUGAGUAACACGUGAGUAACCUGCCCUUGACUUUGGGAUAACUUCAGGAAACUGGGGCUAAUACCGGAUAGGAGCUCCUGCUGCAUGGUUGGGGUUGGAAAGUUUCGGCGGUUGGGGAUGGACUCGCGGCUUAUCAGCUUGUUGGUGGGGUAGUGGCUUACCAAGGCUUUGACGGGUAGCCGGCCUGAGAGGGUGACCGGCCACAUUGGGACUGAGAUACGGCCCAGACUCCUACGGGAGGCAGCAGUGGGGAAUAUUGCACAAUGGGCGGAAGCCUGAUGCAGCAACGCCGCGUGCGGGAUGACGGCCUUCGGGUUGUAAACCGCUUUCGCCUGUGACGAAGCGUGAGUGACGGUAAUGGGUAAAGAAGCACCGGCUAACUACGUG
Molecule: ribosomal RNA, 468 nt
Filed under: uncultured bacterium
Lineage: Bacteria
Description: partial 16S ribosomal RNA
Rfam family: Bacterial small subunit ribosomal RNA
Source: RNAcentral